Molecule: ribosomal RNA, 460 nt
Filed under: uncultured bacterium
Lineage: Bacteria
Description: partial 16S ribosomal RNA
Rfam family: Bacterial small subunit ribosomal RNA
Source: RNAcentral
CCUACGGGAGGCAGCAGUGAGGAAUAUUGGUCAAUGGACGAGAGUCUGAACCAGCCAAGUAGCGUGAAGGAUGACUGCCCUAUGGGUUGUAAACUUCUUUUAUAAAGGAAUAAAACGAGGCACGUGUGCCUUUUUGCAUGUACUUUAUGAAUAAGGAUCGGCUAACUCCGUGCCAGCAGCCGCGGUAAUACGGAGGAUCCGAGCGUUAUCCGGAUUUAUUGGGUUUAAAGGGAGCGUAGAUGGGUUGUUAAGUCAGUUGUGAAAGUUUGCGGCUCAACCGUAAAAUUGCAAUUGAUACUGGCAGUCGUGAGUACAGUUGAGGUAGGCGGAAUUCGUGGUGUAGCGGUGAAAUGCUUAGAUAUCACGAAGAACUCCGAUUGCGAAGGCAGCUUACUAAACUGCCACUGACAUUGAUGCUCGAAAGUGUGGGUAUCAAACAGGAUUAGAUACCCGUGUAGUC